GCCUUCCUUAUUUUGGGGUACACAUCAGAAACAUCAAAGCAACCAAGGAAGAACAUAACAAUGUGAAAUCAUUAGGCUAACAAGUAACAAUAUUAAUCCCCAGCCUCAGAUCCCAAGGGCUUACCCCUCAUUUCCCCAGUAGACAACUAAUUGUUUCAAGACCGCUUGUCUUAGACCAAUUUUCUUCAUGACAAAGUUUUGAUUCACCUCAACAUAUGCAUGCUUCCACUUCUCUAUAUUAUUUUAAGGCAAUGUUGAGACAAUAAAAGUUUUUUUUUAGGCACCAAAAAUUCAUCAAGAUUAAUAAACAUUAGGCAUAAAAGUCAUGGACAAAACCAAAAUGGGUUUUCUCACCUGCAAUAAACUCAUGGACCAUUCCAUUGAAUGAAACUGAGCUGCAACCCCGUGCCUUGUCCACUCCUUUGCUUUCAUCACCUUCCUUAAUCUUUCAACAUCAUCAUAUUUCCCAGCAGCUGCAUAUAGGUUUGCAAGCAUAGUAUAAGCCUCGCUAUGGCUUUGUAACUUCACGAGUCUCUCAGCAGCAGCCUCAGAUAACUGCAUUUGUCCAUGGUCUCAGGAUGCCCUCAGCAACAUUCUCCAUGCCACUGCUUCCUCUGAAGGGUAGCUUGAAUCAGGUAUUCGUAUAAUUAUUUCUUUUGCUGAAAUGCCCAGUUGUGGAAAGCAGGUUGACUAAACCGUAAACACCCAUGGUUAGGUUGGAUACUAUAUACAUUGCACAUUCUAUCUAAUACCUUUAAACCCUCAGAGACCAUGCCAGAAUAACUACGGGCAGAAAGAAGGGCAAUGAAUGAGAUAUCAUCAGCGUCCUACAUCUCCUAAAACAACUUGGGUGCACUCUCUCCAUCUUCAUGCAUUGCCAUCCCAGAAAUCAUUGCGUUCCAGCAAAUAGCAUCUCUUUGUGACAUACCAUCAGACAUGGCCUCAUCGGGCUUUAUAUCAGUUGAUUGCAUCAUCAAACGGAACAUAUACAAACCCUCCUUGAGACAAUUAUUUGGCACAUAUCCAGAGACUAUGGCUCCCCAUAUCCCUCUAUCCUUAACUGGUGCCACAUCAAAGAAUUGCAUUGUCGACAUCACCCUCUUUUGCAUAUCCAGAGAUCAUAAUUGUCCACGACACAGCACUUAACCUCAGAAUUUCAUCAAACACGUACCGUGCAUGCCUCAUUUUGUUAAACCCACAGUGCAUGAUGAUAAAAGAAUUACCCACAAAAAAUAAAACACGAAGCCCAAUUUCAAGACAUGCUAAUGUACUGAUUCUCCCACACAAUAAGUUUGUAGUCUCGCACAGAUCUUCAACAAAUAAGGCAAAGUAUAAUUGUCAGGGUACAUGCCAUUUUGUAACAUGUUUAAGUAUACAAGAAUAGAGUUUGUGAGUUGAUUUCUUAGGGAAAAAGCUUAGAUCAUGUUGUUGCAUAUGCAAAUGGUGAGGUUUGGGAUGUGUUGGAAGACCUUAUAUGCGUGGUUAAUGCUUCCAUGAUGCGGGUCAGCGCAGAAGCCUAAAGCUACAAUUCUUAAGGCAAAGCUUAAGCUGUUUAUGCCAGCGAGAUGCCCUAGACACUGGUCGGUCGGGGAUAGGAGAAACUUCAGUGUCGCCACCACAUUUUCAGGCCUGGAAGCCAAUAUCACACGACACGAACACAUGAAAACAAAAUCUCUCCAUCAUCCUUUUUCGGAUUGAGAAUUCACCAAAUCACCAUCUUGAAAUGCAUGUGACUAACCUGAUGAAGAAGAUUACUCCUCUCUGUGAAUUGUGUAUGCAGGGACAGAGGACCCAUCAAACCCUAGUAGUGACAUGGGACUUUCCUCCACUGCACUGCAUCGACAAGCCAAAGAAUUGCAGUUGUAGGCUUUUAGCAAUGAAGUGUUUGGUGCUUAUACAAAUGAAACCAUGCUCUCUCAUUCCCCUUUAAUUAUAGGCAACGAGAAUAACUAAAACAAGUCCACCUUGUUACAGUCGUCAAUGGCAAACUCAGAUGAAAGAGAUUACGUACCUAGGAUGCAAUUCAAACCAUUCUCUUUAUCACCAUUUAGUCUCAAGAACAACAUCAAUCUCUAGAUAGAAAAAUGGGUGUCCAGUAUAGUCAGAGAGAGUGUGAUAUUUGUGAUUGAUGCAAACAGGAGUAAAGGUAGCGUGGAUGCAGUUGAUUGGGCUCUGAAGCAUGUGAGAUUGGAAGGAAAAAUUCUUGCUUUCCACUAAUUAUGGGAAUUAGUAUUGCUGAAUAUGGGACAGAUUGGAGUUUCCAGGACAAGGUGAAGUGAGGCCGAAAUAGCUCGGGAAGGAAAUGAGAGAAAUAAAGAACAGUACCAGAGUAACCUCUAGCCCUUCUACAGACAGUGCAUAAAGAAUGAGGUGAAGUUAGAAGUUAAACUUGCUGCUGGAUUUUGUCCAGAUAAAAUCACAGUUGAACAAGCUCAAAGAUCUAAUCCGCGCUGGAUUGUUUUAGACAGUCACUUGAAGAGGUACAAGUUAGUCAUAUAUGGGCAUGUAGGAUGCAACAUUGCAGUAAUGAAAGGAAAAGACAUUGCAACCUGGCUGUCAUCAAAAGCUCGGAAGAUUGAACCGUCCCCACGAAAUUCGAGAAGAAAUUAGGAGGCUGGUUGCAGUAAUCUUCAAGAAAAAUGAAGAUUCCAAUACUGAAGUUCAGGAAUCUACACAAAUCAGUGCGUCCUCGAAGUCCAUGCUGGAAUCCUCUGUCAUGGAGAAGUGGCUUUCCUCGAGUAUUUACUCAAACUGAACUUGAGAAAUAUAACAAAAGGCUUUUUUGAAGAGAGUUUUAUUCAAGAAUCAUAUGAUUUAAUGGU
Molecule: long non-coding RNA, 2822 nt
Organism: Tripterygium wilfordii
Lineage: Eukaryota; Viridiplantae; Streptophyta; Magnoliopsida; Celastrales; Celastraceae
Exons: 4
Source: RefSeq, a predicted model, not a curated record